RNAcentral lists this unclassified non-coding RNA (397 nucleotides) under Hevea brasiliensis (rubber tree). The record is from RNAcentral. Lineage: Eukaryota; Viridiplantae; Streptophyta; Magnoliopsida; Malpighiales; Euphorbiaceae.
CUCGAUCAAGAAAUUCCAGCACCAACAGAAGGAAAAGAAGAGAGAAUAAUAGCAACAACAAUAGUGAAAGCAACAACUUGAGCAAUAACGUCGUCAGCAACUCCAUUUCAAUGUCCACAAACCUUCUCAUUUCUGAUCGGUACCUGAGUGAGAUACUUUCAGAGAAGCUAUCAACUCAGAGAGAUCGAAGGAGAGGUCGUGUUGGGGUGUGGAGACCACACUUAGAGAGCAUAUCUGAGACCCCAAAUGAUGCUUAAAGGAGGUUCUUGAUGAGUUUGUAAUGAGCCAUAUAUGAUUUUUCUUUUUCUUUGCGAUUCAUUCCUGCGGUUCUUAUCCAUUAGGGUUCAAGAACUCCAUCCCUAUUAUUCAUUUUCCUUUUCUUUUCCCUACCCUUCCC